RNAcentral lists this transfer RNA (589 nucleotides) under Aeromonas caviae. The stretch from base 276 to 348 matches the Rfam family "tRNA". The record is from RNAcentral. Lineage: Bacteria; Pseudomonadati; Pseudomonadota; Gammaproteobacteria; Aeromonadales; Aeromonadaceae.
CCUUAAGAUGUCGAAGUUGUUAGAGUGUUCACACAGAUUGCCUUGAUUCAAAGUAGUUAGAGCAAAGACCUGAUGCGCAAGCGUCAGUGCUUAUUCAACUUCGGUUGAAUGAGAGAAGCCCGUUCGUUGGGUUGGGAUGUGAAUAGCGGCGCAAGUUGCUACCCAAUUCAAAGUUAGCGAUAACAACGAACAGCGCUAAAGGCCGCUAGCCUCGCAGGCUCGGCGUCGCCUUUACGAAAAUCAUUGCGAAGUGACCUUCGCAAAACAUGAUUUUCGUCCCCUUCGUCUAGAGGCCUAGGACACCGCCCUUUCACGGCGGUAACAGGGGUUCGAAUCCCCUAGGGGACGCCACUUCUCUUCUUGCUAACAAGAAUGCAGAGUUAAGAACGAAAUUCUUAACUCUGUUUUCUUCAGCCUUGUGCUGUUCGAAACAUGCUCUUUAACAAUCUGGAAAGCUGAUUUAAAAAGUAGUUCUCAAACAUUUGUUACAAGUGCUUUGGAAACUUCUUGGCGAAAACCAAAUUUUAUUUGGUCCUUGUUGUACGACAACAAGCCGUGCCGGUUUCACCGACACUUCUUGGGGUUGUAU